This is a long non-coding RNA of Octopus sinensis (East Asian common octopus), 289 nucleotides long. RefSeq lists it as uncharacterized. Lineage: Eukaryota; Metazoa; Mollusca; Cephalopoda; Octopoda; Octopodidae. The record is from RefSeq and is a predicted model, not a curated record. The transcript has 5 exons.
UUCAGGUAAAUGACCCUGCUUGCUCUGUAGAAAAGGCGUGGGUAGAAACUGCAUACAAUGUACCCGGUGUAAGCAAUAGACACAUAAAAGGUGCAGCAAUAUCAAAGGAAGGUUAAUCAGGAAAAUAGUUUUUGUCCAUGGCAGAUGCACUGGGGCAAUAAACAUUGAAGAUAUAGAGAAAACAGAUUUCAUCACAUGCCAGGGGGAGAAACUAGAAAUAGUUAAUAACUUCUGCUACCUAAGCGACCAAGGCUGUAGUGGGGGCAGUUGCUCUGAGAGUGUAGAGACU